UUCAAAGCUUUUGUUUUGCGAAGAAUUUUAAGACUAGCAAUUUUUAAAUAAAAACGAUAACAUAUCCAGACAAGAUGCAACUGAAUAAUAAUUCUUUCCUGAUCACUAGCAAGAUGUUUAAAAAGGAAAAUUUGGCCAUGUGGGGAACUGGGCGCAAUCAAAUAGGCCCUAACAUAGAAAUUCAGUUUUGGCAACUGAAAGAAGAGCCAAACUAUCCUGGAUAUUUCUACAUCUGUAACACAAAAUAUGAUGGAUAUCGAAUUGCUAAUUUUGGACCUAGAAUUAGUUGUGAAAGUGAACCAGAUGAUGAAAGUCAGAUGUUUAAAUUUGAAGAAGUUGGUGAUAGUUUCUACCGAAUAUUCAAUUAUUAAAAACAAGAAGCAAAACUAACAAAAUGGGGAAACGAAAAUGAUGAAUUGGCUUUCUCUGAUGGAAUUGGUGAUGACAACCAAUCAUGGAAACUGGUACCAAGGUUCAAAGCAUAUGUUACAACUGUGAUGAUAUGGAGCUACGACAACAGACAAGGAUCAGAAUCUUUCUCAACAGAAAUAUCUGUAACAACUGGCCUCAAAUUUACAUCUUCCUCGACUACUCCAAUCACUAUUGGUUUGCAGCAAUCGUUAAUGGCCUCCGUUUGUUCAGCUGCAGUAGAUGAAGAAUCUAAGGUUGAGAUAAAUGAUGAGAUUCAAUAUUCAUUGUUGCAAAGCACAGAAGAAGAUUGGAGUCGUACUUCUGCAAUAGAAUAUACAGUACCGGCAGCAAAGAAUUUUCUCGUAAAACAGCUGACGUGUGAGUUUUAUAGCCUUCUUAGGUCCGAUACUUGUGUUUUGACAUGCAAAUCCAUCAUCAAAGAAACCAAGGGUACAAUGAAGACUACUUGCAUGUUGUAAAAAUUGUGAUAGCUUCAUCUAUGAUAGGAGAAGUAAGUCGUUCGAACGUUGUUAAAUUGUAAAGAAACACGAGCUUUCUUAUCUUCAUUCACAAAACGGCAAUGCCUGAAAUUGUGCAUACUUUAUUCGUCUACUCCUUUUUCUUCUUCUUCUCCUUCUUCUUCUUCUUCUUA
Long non-coding RNA from Xenia sp. Carnegie-2017, 1063 nucleotides. RefSeq lists it as uncharacterized. The transcript is spliced from 3 exons. NCBI's taxonomy places the organism in Eukaryota, Metazoa, Cnidaria, Anthozoa, Malacalcyonacea, Xeniidae. The record is from RefSeq and is a predicted model, not a curated record.